Molecule: RNA transcript, 759 nt
Organism: Amphibalanus amphitrite
Lineage: Eukaryota; Metazoa; Arthropoda; Thecostraca; Balanomorpha; Balanidae
Exons: 3
Source: RefSeq, a predicted model, not a curated record
GUUCUGCUCCUCUCCUCUGCAGGCGCUAGGGCGUGGUCACCCGUACAGACAGGGUGCACGAGUUUAUAAAAGGGGCGAUAACGGACAGGGACGUCUGCAUUUGCUCAUCAUCGGCCCCACUCAACAUGCAACGCUGGGUGAGCUCGGACGUCUAGUUUCGCUGAUUGGAGGACAGCUCUAAUUGCCGCUGUCUCCUUCGCUCUGCUCAGCUCUCUUAGCGUGGAUGCGAUUCCAGCGCCCAAGUCUGAUAGCGUGUCAAAUGUCUUCUCCACUGUCGACGGUCCCCGGCAGCGGCCGGCCCGCGACAUCACCACGGCGCUCAUGCGCCGCUGGCGGCUCCGAAGCAUGGUGGCCUCCGGUCUAGGCUACCCGGACCUGGGCUUCGAGGCACUGGAGCUGACCAGCCUGCGGCUGCCGCUGGCCCAGACCUACUCGGCGCUGGAGGUGUCCGUGCCAGACACCUACUGGUGAUGACUGCUGGCGGGCCAGGAUGCGCGCAGCGAGAGACGAUAGCUCACAAAUGUCGGAACUUGGUCCCUUUGUAAAGGAAUAAGCGUCAUGUGGAGCACGAUAUGUGACACUGGCUAUGGCGAGCCUAAUGGGGUGAAUAAUUCAUACUAUUGUACAUGCAAAAAUGAUGUGUUUCAUUUCGUGUUAGUUAUAAAAGGUUUAUAAUAAAUGUUUACCGAAGUGACCUAGCACUCGUGAUUUAGGUAGGUACCUACGUUCAAGUUCGACUUAAAUACAAGUUUUGGAAUA